RNAcentral lists this ribosomal RNA (497 nucleotides) under uncultured bacterium. RNAcentral's name for it is "partial 16S ribosomal RNA". It matches the Rfam family "Bacterial small subunit ribosomal RNA", at positions 28 to 507 of the family's 1533-position model. The record is from RNAcentral.
GAUGAACGCUGGCGGCGUGCCUAAUACAUGCGAGUCGAGCGAACGGACGAGAAGCUUGCUUCUCUGAUGUUAGCGGCGGACGGGUGAGUAACACGUGGAUAACCUACCUAUAAGACUGGGAUAACUUCGGGAAGCCGGAGCUAAUACCGGAUAAUAUUUUGAACCGCAUGGUUCAAAAGUAAAAGACGGUCUUGCUGUCACUUAUAGAUGGAUCCGCGCUGCAUUAGCUAGUUGGUAAGGUAACGGCUUACCAAGGCAACGAUGCAUAGCCGACCUGAGAGGGUGAUCGGCCACACUGGAACUGAGACACGGUCCAGACUCCUACGGGAGGCAGCAGUAGGGAAUCUUCCGCAAUGGGCGAAAGCCUGACGGAGCAACGCCGCGUGAGUGAUGAAGGUCUUCGGAUCGUAAAACUCUGUUAUUAGGGAAGAACAUAUGUGUAAGUAACUGUGCACAUCUUGACGGUACCUAAUCAGAAAGCCACGGCUAACUACGUG